Molecule: ribosomal RNA, 460 nt
Filed under: uncultured bacterium
Lineage: Bacteria
Description: partial 16S ribosomal RNA
Rfam family: Bacterial small subunit ribosomal RNA
Source: RNAcentral
CCUACGGGAGGCAGCAGUGAGGAAUAUUGGUCAAUGGACGCAAGUCUGAACCAGCCAUGCCGCGUGCGGGAAGACGGCCCUAUGAGUUGUAAACUUCUUUUGUACGGGGGUAAAGGCGGCUACGCGUAUCUGUACGGAAGUAUCGUACGAAUAAGGAUCGGCCCACUCCGGUCCAGCAGCCGCGGUGAUACGGAGGGUUCCAGCGUUAUCCGGAUUUAUUGGGGUUAAAGGGCGCGUAGGCGGUAGGAUAAGUUAGUGGUGAAAUCCGGCGGCUUAACUUUGGAAUUGCCUUUGAUACUGGUCGGCUAGAGAGUAGGAGCGGUAGGCGGAAUGUGUGGUGUAGCGGUGAAAUGCUUAGAGAUCAUGCAGAACACCGAGUGCGAAGGCAGCUUACCAGGCUACAACUGACGUUGAGGCACGAAAGCGUGGGGAGCAAACAGGAUUAGAUACCCCUGUAGUC